This 402-nucleotide ribosomal RNA is filed under the name bacterium. RNAcentral's name for it is "partial 16S ribosomal RNA". It matches the Rfam family "Bacterial small subunit ribosomal RNA", at positions 355 to 776 of the family's 1533-position model. The record is from RNAcentral.
UGGGGAAUUUUGCACAAUGGGGGAAACCCUGAUGCAGCUACGCCGCGUGAUUUAGAAGGCCUUCGGCUUGUAAAAAUCUUUUCUAUGGGAAGAAAAUGACAGUACCAUAGGAAUAAGGACCGGCUAAUUACGUGCCAGCAGCCGCGUUAAUACGUAAGGUCCGAGCGUUGUCCGGAAUCAUUGUGCGUAAAGGGUACGUAGGCGGGUAAGCAAGUUAGAAGUGAAAUCCUAUAGCUCAACUAUAGUAAGCUUUUAAAACUGCUCAUCUUGAGGUAUGGAAGGGAAAGUAGAAUUCCUGGUGUAGCGGUGAAAUGCGCAGAUAUUAGGAGGAAUACCGGUGGCGAAGGCGACUUUCUGGACAUAAACUGACGCUGAGGUACGAAAGCGUGGGUAGCAAACAGG